Molecule: ribosomal RNA, 245 nt
Filed under: uncultured bacterium
Lineage: Bacteria
Description: partial 16S ribosomal RNA
Rfam family: Bacterial small subunit ribosomal RNA
Source: RNAcentral
GACAGAGGGUGCAAGCGUUGUUCGGAAUCACUGGGCGUAAAGCGCGUCUAGGCGGAAACACAAGUCUGGUGUGAAAGCCCGGGGCUUAACCCCGGAAGUGCAUUGGAAACUGUGUAUCUGGAGUCUCGGAGAGGGUGGUGGAAUUCCCAGUGUAGAGGUGAAAUUCGUAGAUAUUGGGAGGAACACCGGUGGCGAAGGCGACCACCUGGACGAUGACUGACGCUGAAGCGCGAAAGCGUGGGGAU